CUGUGGGGAGGUGAGCUCAUCCCAUCCUGUCCCUAUAACUGCUGCCCUUUCUGGGCCCUUUCAGCCUUAGAGAAACACAAGGUCAUCAUGGCACAACACAGUGGAAGCAGGGACUGGCCCAAAUGGUGUCAAAGCAGCAGCAAUGACAUGGUAAUCACAACCCUGGAUGGUGAGCUCACACCAUCUCAUCCCUUUAAUUGCUGCUCAGGCCGGGCCCUACCAGGAAGAGACAAGACAAGAUCCCUGUUACCCAAGGCUGAGGGAGAGCAGACUGAACCAGGUGAGUGACUAGUGGCUGUUGGGCUCUCAGCAGGGAUGCGAGAGAGAAGCCAAGUGGGCAACCUUAAAUGUGAUGAAUUAUUAUCAUUAUCAUCAUCAUCAUCAUUGUUAUUA
RNAcentral lists this long non-coding RNA (393 nucleotides) under Ornithorhynchus anatinus (platypus). Its description in RNAcentral is "lncRNA (ENSOANG00000043786.1)". The record is from RNAcentral. Lineage: Eukaryota; Metazoa; Chordata; Mammalia; Monotremata; Ornithorhynchidae.